Molecule: non-coding RNA, 26 nt
Filed under: Mus musculus (house mouse)
Lineage: Eukaryota; Metazoa; Chordata; Mammalia; Rodentia; Muridae
Also listed under: 1 other name
Source: RNAcentral
GUGCUCGCUUCGGCAGCACAUAUACU